This 2221-nucleotide ribosomal RNA is filed under the name Marinilactibacillus psychrotolerans. RNAcentral's name for it is "bacterial LSU rRNA". It matches the Rfam family "Bacterial large subunit ribosomal RNA", at positions 698 to 2925 of the family's 2925-position model. Lineage: Bacteria; Bacillati; Bacillota; Bacilli; Lactobacillales; Carnobacteriaceae. The record is from RNAcentral.
AGUAUGCCGUCGUCGACCCGAAACCAAGUGACCUACCCAUGUCCAGGGUGAAGGUGCAGUGAAAUGCACUGGAGGCCCGAACCCACGUACGUUGAAAAGUGCGGGGAUGAGGUGUGGGUAGCGGAGAAAUUCCAAUCGAACUUGGAGAUAGCUGGUUCUCUCCGAAAUAGCUUUAGGGCUAGCCUCGGAUAGUGCAUCGUGGAGGUAGAGCGACUGUUUGGACUAGGGGCCCUUAUCGGGUUACCGAAUCCUGAUAAACUCCGAAUGCCACUGAUGUAGAUCCGGGAGUCACACUGCGAGUGAUAAGAUCCGUAGUGGAAAGGGAAACAGCCCAGACCGUCGGUUAAGGUCCCAAAAUCCUUGUUAAGUGGAAAAGGAUGUGGGGCUGCUCAGACAACUAGGAUGUUGGCUCAGAAGCAGCCAUCAUUUAAAGAGUGCGUAAUAGCUCACUAGUCGAGUGGCCCUGCGCCGAAAAUUUACCGGGGCUAAACAAGGUACCGAAACCACGGAUAGAACCAAUGGUUCUAUGGUAGGAGAGCGUUCUAAGGGCAUUGAAGCAAGAUCGUGAGGACUUGUGGAGCGCUUAGAAGUGAGAAUGCCGGUAUGAGUAGCGAAACACGGGUGAGAAUCCCGUGCACCGAAUGACUAAGGUUUCCUGGGGAAGGCUCGUCCUCCCAGGGUUAGUCGGGACCUAAGCUGAGGCCGAUAGGCGUAGGCGAUGGACAACAGGUAGAGAUUCCUGUACCAGUCUGCUUUGUUUGAACAAUGGAGGGACGCAGGAGGCUAAGAUAAGCACGCUGUUGGAUAUGCGUGCCCAAGCAACAAGUCUGAGUAGGAGUCAAAUGCUUCUACUCACACGGACAAGUUGUGAUGGGGAGGGAACUUAUAGUACCGAAGUAUCUGAUGUCACACUGUCAAGAAAAGCUUCUAGUUAGAAGUAGGCUGCCCGUACCGCAAACCGACACAGGUAGUCGAGGAGAGAAUCCUAAGGUGAUCGAGAGAACUCUCGUUAAGGAACUCGGCAAAAUGACCCCGUAACUUCGGGAGAAGGGGUGCUGACCAACUGGUCAGCCGCAGUGAAUAGGCCCAAGCGACUGUUUACCAAAAACACAGGUCUCUGCUAAUUCGAAAGAAGAUGUAUAGGGGCUGACACCUGCCCGGUGCUGGAAGGUUAAGAGGAAAGGUUAGCUUCGGCGAAGCUUUGAAUUGAAGCCCCAGUAAACGGCGGCCGUAACUAUAACGGUCCUAAGGUAGCGAAAUUCCUUGUCGGGUAAGUUCCGACCCGCACGAAAGGUGUAACGAUUUGGGCACUGUCUCAACGAGAGACUCGGUGAAAUUAUAGUACCUGUGAAGAUGCAGGUUACCCGCGACAGGACGGAAAGACCCCAUGGAGCUUUACUGUAGUUUGAUAUUGAGUGUCUGUACAGCUUGUACAGGAUAGGUAGGAGCCAAUGAAACCAGGACGCCAGUCUUGGUGGAGGCAAUGGUGGGAUACUACCCUCGCUGUAUGGCCACUCUAACCCGCAACCGUCAACCGGUUGGGAGACAGUGUCAGAUGGGCAGUUUGACUGGGGCGGUCGCCUCCUAAAGAGUAACGGAGGCGCCCAAAGGUUCCCUCAGAAUGGUUGGAAAUCAUUCGAAGAGUGUAAAGGCAGAAGGGAGCUUGACUGCGAGACUUACAAGUCGAGCAGGGACGAAAGUCGGGCUUAGUGAUCCGGUGGUUCCGUAUGGAAGGGCCAUCGCUCAACGGAUAAAAGCUACCCUGGGGAUAACAGGCUUAUCUCCCCCAAGAGUUCACAUCGACGGGGAGGUUUGGCACCUCGAUGUCGGCUCGUCGCAUCCUGGGGCUGUAGUCGGUCCCAAGGGUUGGGCUGUUCGCCCAUUAAAGCGGCACGCGAGCUGGGUUCAGAACGUCGUGAGACAGUUCGGUCCCUAUCCGUCGCGGGCGUUGGAGAUUUGAGAAGAGCUAUCCUUAGUACGAGAGGACCGGGAUGGACAUACCGCUGGUGUACCAGUUGUCUUGCCAAAGGCAUCGCUGGGUAGCUAUGUGUGGACGGGAUAAACGCUGAAAGCAUCUAAGCGUGAAGCCCCCUUCAAGAUGAGAUCUCCCAUUCCUUUAAGGAAGUAAGAUCCCUGAGAGAUGAUCAGGUAGAUAGGCUGGAAGUGGAAGUACAGUGAUGUAUGGAGCGGACCAGUACUAAUCGAUCGAGGACUUAACCAC